This 843-nucleotide ribosomal RNA is filed under the name uncultured bacterium. RNAcentral describes it as "bacterial SSU rRNA". It matches the Rfam family "Bacterial small subunit ribosomal RNA", at positions 47 to 863 of the family's 1533-position model. The record is from RNAcentral.
CCUAACACAUGCAAGUCGAGCGAGAAAGCCCGCACGGGUGAGUAAAGCGAGCUGAACGGGUGCGUAACUCGUGCGGUAAUCUGCCCUACAGUCCGGAAUAACUUCCCGAAAGGGACGCUGAUGCCGGAUGAGACCACGGGAGCCUCGGCUCCUGCGAGGAAAAGGUGGCCUCUGUACACAAGCUAUCGAUCUUGGAUGAGCCCGCGGCCCAUCAGCUCGUUGGCGGGGUAAUGACCCACCAAGGCUACGACGGGUAGUUGGUCUGAGAGGACGAUCACCCACACCGGAAGUGAGACACGGUCCAGACUCCUACGGGAGGCAGCAGUGGGGAAUCUUGCGCAAUGGGCGAAAGCCUGACGCAGCAACCCUGCGUGUGUGAUGAAGGUGUUCUGAUCGUAAAGCACUGUCGCGAGGGAGGAAUAAGGGGCGGGUUAACAUCCCGUUCCGAUGACGGUACCUCGAGAGGAAGCACCGGCUAACUCUGUGCCAGCACCCGCGGUAAUACAGAGGGUGCGAGAGUUGUUCGGAAUUAUUGGGCGUAAAGAGCGUGUAGGCGGCUCUGCAAGUCAGGUGUGAAAGCCCUCGGCUUAACCGAGGAAGUGCGCCUGAAAGUACGGAGCUUGAGUGUCGGUGAGGGUGGCGGAAUUCCCGGUGUAGAGGUGAAAUUUGUAGAUAUAGGGAGGAACACCAGUGGGGAAGGCGCCCACCCGGACGGUAACUGACGCUGUGACGUGAAAGAGUGGGGAGCAAACACGAUUAGAUACCCCGGUAGUCCACGCUGUAAAAGAUGAGUGUUAGGUGUUUUGGGUGUUAACCCCCUCAGUGCCGCAGCUAACGCAUUAA